Molecule: non-coding RNA, 3238 nt
Organism: Coturnix japonica (Japanese quail)
Lineage: Eukaryota; Metazoa; Chordata; Aves; Galliformes; Phasianidae
Source: RefSeq, a predicted model, not a curated record
GCAGACUGUGAGACUGCAGCAGCUCAAGGUAAUGGGGCAGUGUGAAGGUGCAGACAAAUUGCAAGCAUUCCAGUCCUGGGAUGCUCAGCCUUGUCCUGAGACCUGUCAGGACCCAGAUAAGGCAUUUAUCUCUCUGUAAGGCAGAGCAGCCUAGAGUGGCAAUGCAGAUUUUUCAUGGAUUCAUUAGUAUUUGACAUGAACUGGUUGGUGUUCAGCAACUUUUGGGGUUUUUCCCAGAAGGAGUUGAAGGCAGUUUUUAAACACAGAGCUGCUCAGCCAAGGCAGUUGUGCAAAUAAACAUCCAUUAUAACAGACUAGCGUUUUAUGAUAAUGUUAUUUGUUUUGGACCAUGCACAGACAACAGUAUCUUGUGUUUUCAUUGGUGGGAGGCCGUAACUUGCUAACAUGUUACCAAACAUUCCCCAUAUGUGGUGCUUCUGCUGUAGCUGAUACAGUGGGAGACAGAGCCUUUCAACCUUGUGACUGACAGUUUUAAUGUAACAUCUCAUUUGGAUAUGUUUCAUGUGGCACUCUGCAGUACCUGUGCUUUUGGGGGUGCUUCGAAAAGCUGAUGAAAUAUGUUGCUUUCUGCCCAGGGCACUGAGGUUUCUUUGUAAAGCAAAGGAUGUGAAGCAACUGUGUUCCCUACGCUCCUCGGUGUCGACUCUGUACACAGCCCCUGCAAUAGGUGUGUCUGGGAGAUCUCUUGACUGAUUACGGAAUGGACUGUUUCCCACUUGGAGGGGGUAUACAUUGUUGUGCACCUCCCAAAGAAAACUGGGAGCCAGGUUCUGUCAAUCUGCAGUGUGUGAACCUGGAAUGAGGCUGUCAGCGCUACUCAGGGAAGUGAUGGAGCUCCCAGCCCAUGAGCAUGGAGUUUCCCCAUGGACUCUUCCACUGAAAAAGAGUUGGAUGAACGGAGACAGACAGAUAUUCCACUGCAGACUUCCCUAUUUUACUAAUAUAAGAUUGCUGUUCAGACAGAAAUGUCCAUGUUGGCUCAUGAUGAAUCCACAGUCUAUAUGCAGCUCUUGAGAGAUAUUUCCGUAUCCUGAAAUAACAGGAGUCUUGUGAUGCGUCACUUCAUGACCCUGCGGUGCUCCACAACUCGUAGGAUGAAGGACUGAUGUUACAACAUGGUUGUACAACAGAACAGUCACUGUGCAACAAUCCUUCAUUUAAAGUCAAUACAACCGAACUAAGGAGUUAAUAAGACUUGCACCCUCCCAUGCCAGGAGGCACCAACGCUGCCACAUCACUCCACAAAAGGCAAUGAAUUCUUUUUGUACUUCAGCUGCAUUUCAGGUCUGAUGUGAUGAGUUCAUGUACCUGUCACUUCCCUGGGAUAUGAGCAGCUGCCAGAAACCCCUCUGGCUGCCGUCAGUCUGGCUCAAGACACCUUGUCAGAGUGGCUCAAACAGAAGAGAGUGCUGUUUGUAUCCAUAUAGCAUUCAAACCCCACUGUUGUCAGAGCAAGGAAUCAUAUUUCACCAGCGCCUGCCUUCUGGCAAACAUUUCACAAGAGGAGUAUUUCACUGGGAAUUAGAGGUCAUUGUCUCAUGUGACAGCUCAAAAAUGUAAUCAUUCCUGAUCGGAGCUGGCUCAGACUGAAAGGAGAAGCAGGAGACUGGCGUGUAUGAAUGUAGGAGCAGCGAAACCGCUGUGGACCACAGGCCGCAAACAGCCAUACAGUGACCCCAGGCUUCACUAGCAGCAAGCUGCAGCACAGCAACUCUUCUUUGCUGUCCCUUGCCUGUAGUGUUUCAUUUCUGGUAUCUAAAAGCAGCAAAAUGGUUUAGGGACCAACUGAGUUGGAUGCAUUGCCAGGGUUUGGAUCCAGCCAUAAGCUCUGAUCUCCAUCUGUGUUCACAUCAAAUCAGAGCAGCCUGGAGUUUUGGAGCAGAAGGUUAUCAGGAUGAGGUCUGCUUCUCAUACCAUUGUGAAUGAAGUUGGUGCCUGUCUGGAUGCACAGCCACAAAUCAUUACAGAGGCAAGCAGUUAUGGUCAGAGAAACCAGAGAGGAAUUUAUUACAGUUACCUGAAGGUAAGUCAGGAAAUGCAUUGCUGGCAGAGCUUACACUUGAAUGAUUUGGACCAGGUGAUGGGCUGGAUAAAACCACCAUUUCUUAGCAGGUGUCAUAUGUUCAGUUACAAAUGAAAGUGCUGUAACACCCAGGCCUAAUUGUAGUGAACACAAACAAUCUUUCAAGCAAUAUAUGAAUAGAAGGUCUGUAUUCAAAUAACAGAUUAAUUGCUGACUGUGAUAAUUAGAUGUAUGCAGUGGCUUUUUUGUCCAGUUCUGCAGAAACUUUCUGAGUACAUUUCCUAGCCUCCAAGAAAGCUGCUUUCAUGCUGUGUUAUACUAUCAGUCCUUAUCGCCAACAACCUUAAUCCUGCUCUGGCUUGUCUGGACUGUGUGCUGCAGCAGGAGCUAGAAAACCUGGGAUGUUGCUUUACAGAAUGGUGGGUAGUGUUUUUAGGUGUCUUUGUAUACAAACAAAUACAGCUUAUUAAAGCUGGCUGCCCAAAGAGGUUUCUACCUCACUUUGCACACCCCACUCUUUUCUCAAGAGUUACAGGGAUUUCAGGUUACUUGAAAAGCUACAUUGGAAAUGGGCCUCAGGAGCUGCUUCACAUGCAGUUCAGUUCCUGCUGAUGGAGAUGGAACAAAUUUGGAGGGAGGCUUCUUCAUGCCAGCAUUGUAUUUGGUGGGAUGUUUCAGUUCAGCCAUCAGCUGCCUGCCAUACCAUGCAGCCCUGGCUGCCAGCUCGGAGGAGGAUCUGACUGCUUACUUACACAGAGGGGCUGGCACACAAACAUGUUCCUUCUUUGCUCAUCAACACAUUUUGCCUCCUAUGUUUCGAACCCAUAAGCUACAGUAUUGAGCCUAAAGGCAAGAAUAGCUUUUCAGAGUCUGUGCAGCCAUCUAGUGUUACUGUAUGUAUAGUGCACCGGUUAACAUCUGAGCCCUGGCUCAUCGUAGAGCUUUCUUCCUGCACGUCUCCCAGCUGAAUGUUUAACUUUAAGUUAGAGGAGAUUCAGUUAAACUUCCUAAUCUACUAAUCCUGACGACCUCUGAAACUUUUGACCACCUAAAGGCUGUGCAUAUGGAUGGAAAGAGAGACUUCUGCUUCAGUAUCUCUUUUAGACAGAUAGCGCGGGUUACUUCUGUCAGGAAGAGCAAAUGCAAGAUGCCUUGGAUGCUGAUGCAUUUUAGCAGCACUAAUUCUCAAGAAAA